This is a long non-coding RNA of Aethalodelphis obliquidens (Pacific white-sided dolphin), 2332 nucleotides long. RefSeq lists it as uncharacterized. NCBI's taxonomy places the organism in Eukaryota, Metazoa, Chordata, Mammalia, Artiodactyla, Delphinidae. The record is from RefSeq and is a predicted model, not a curated record. The transcript is spliced from 2 exons.
AGAAAGAAGAAACAAUGAAGAAAACAGAGCUCACCAGUUCAUUUACCUCUUGAAUGGAGAAAGGAUUUCCAUUUCCUGUCCUAGCACUUCCCUUGGGUGCCUGGAUACUAAACCCUCUGAAGACUUGAUGGUAGUGGCUUAUAAUGUGCAGAAAAUAAAUCAUUCCCCACAUGUUGACCCUUAGACUAUCAUACCUUGGUGUUUUCCUUUUACACAGUGGUGAUAAGUAAGGCCGAUUGACUGAUACAGAAGAAUCACAGUUUCAUUAGGCAGCUUUGUGACUGCUUUCUGGGCCCUGGCUGGGUGUAUGGAAUAGCUGAGUAGUCGAGGGGCUCCAUGCUUUCAUCAUGGGUGGUCAGUGGAUAAUUCUAAACCCGUGAGCACUGUACAAAAGUAGGACAGAGUACAGCGGGUCCAGGGUGAGUGGAAGCAUGACUGACACUUUAUGUCAUGGUCACUUGUUACAUAUGAGUACUGCAUAUGUGGACAAGAAGUAAGACAUAUCAUGCUAUGUGGGGAGAUGUACAUACUCAUUGCUUUAUAUAUUCACACUCUUGAAUUAUGUGUGGAGUAUUUUUUUGUUUUUUUCCCAUUUUCCCUCUAAAAGAAACCUUUUUUUCCUGAUGGUAUUAGUAACAUCUUUCAACGUGAGGAAAAUAUUCAGGAAAAAAAAAAUUGUCUGAAGCUGUACAACCAAGAGAAAACCAUGUUUGACACUUAUUCUUUUUUUAAUGGUACAUUGUGGGAAUUGAGGGGCAUUCCUUUCAAUUUAGGAUACACAUGUAUGAUACAAGCUUGUGUUUGAAUUUUUCAAAACUUGUGGUAGUUUUUCCAUGUCAUAAAAUAUUUUUUGAAAAUAUAACUGUUGCAUUGAAUCUUUGGUAUUGAUAUAUAUAAUUUACUUAACCAUUCUAGAAUAGGUAAGCCAUUUCUAGUGUUUCAUUGGCUUUGGUGAGCAUAAAAGUUACGUUUACUCAAAGAACAGGCUGUGUUUUAAUCAUUUAUGUUAUUUUAUUUUCUCCUUUGAUGAAUUUAUUUUUUUUUAGUUAACAUAAUUGCCUUUACAUACUGUGUCUAUCUGGAGCCCCAUAGAGAACACAGCAGCCUAUAGGAUGGGGCCGGAAGAGAAUUUGUUUCUCAGUGUGCAGUCACUUCCACAGAGCUAUGCUGAUGCCACAUCACCUCCUCCAGGACUAGCCCAGUGUUUUGGAAGCUGAGAAAGGUGCUAAUAGAAGGGAGAAUGGCAUCUUUCUCUUUGCCAGACUCCCAACCUCCCCAUGCCUUUGGAGUUUCCAGAAAUGUUUCAUUAAAAAUAAAAAUUCACUUCCCCAGUCACCCUUGUUUUGCAUCCAUUUAGUAGUAGCGAAAUGAAAUUAUCGAGAUUCUGUUCAGAGGUUGGGCCUCAGUCCUGCAGUGGAUUGAAGCAGACAGCUUCGCACUCCUGGGAUGGGGUGGGUUCUCUAGGCGGCACCUCCUGCAAGAUUGGUAUGGUGUGCAUCUGUCAGGCAGUAAUUUGGAAUUUGCAGGUUAGCAAGUGACACCUGCCUGCCCAGAGAGCCCUGCCUGAUGUCUGUAGGGAAGUGGUGGGUCCUCUGGGGAGGCCCUGGGGCAGGAAGGCCCAGGGUGAAGUAGGUAUUUCCAGGCCCUUAGUGAGCUCUACCACGGGGCCAGGAAUCAGUGGAUGCCACAUGGAGGAUUUUGCUUUAUUUCUAUUUGUAUUGAAAAUGGGGGCUUUCUGUCCUAGUUAAGGAACAUGUUCUUUCCAUUGUUCUGAAACAGCUCUUGGAGGUUAACAGGCUUCUACUAUCCAAGCAGAGAAGUGGCACAAGGCAUAUUCAGCAUAAUCAGCUAUUUUGGCCACUGAACAAUUCUUUUUUUUUUUUUUUUUUUUUUAACUAGGCUUAGAUGGAAUGGAAUGGUAAAAUGGAUAAGUUUAUGAAACAUAUGAACUCCAGAAUUUAUUUUAAAUCCAUUCAGUGUGAAUUUAUCAUUUUCCUUUCACCUUGGCUGCUGGUCAUUUUGAGGUCUCUCUUAAUGUACUCACUUGUCCCCAAGUGUCGUUUGGUGCCUCUUCCAUGCAUGUGGCAGCUUUCUGUCUGUGAAAGGGAGUACGUAUUAGAAGGCCUGUAUUUGUUUUUGUGGGUAUGUUCAGGGAUUUUUUGAGCCUUGGUGUGGGGGUGUGGUGAACGACAGCUUUUGCAUUCACAGUGGGCACUUCGGCUCUAAGAAUCGUGUAGGUACAUCUGUGCUGAUUUGGAAAUUGUUGGUUGUAUGUUGGUUUUUUUCCCCUAAGUUACAUGAUACUGCGUGUGGUGUGAUCCCAUUAUGGAGA